RNAcentral lists this ribosomal RNA (167 nucleotides) under uncultured bacterium. RNAcentral's name for it is "partial 16S ribosomal RNA". It matches the Rfam family "Bacterial small subunit ribosomal RNA", at positions 344 to 525 of the family's 1533-position model. The record is from RNAcentral.
GGAGGCAGCAGUGGGGAAUAUUGGUCAAUGGGGGAAACCCUGAACCAGCAACGCCGCGUGAAGGAAGAAGGCCUUCGGGUUGUAAACUUCUUUGACGAGGGAAGUAAAAAAUGACGGUACCUCGAAAACAAGCCACGGCUAACUACGUGCCAGCAGCCGCGGUAAUA